UUUAAUACUAAUUGUCAAGAGCUAUGGAGACUACAUAUGGUAGCAACCAAUCCUUUGAGAUGUAAGAACGGUUUACCUAUCGUGUUCUAGCUAGCUACAGAAUGGCUUCACUCCCUCUCCUCAAUCAGAUGUUCAAAUGAAAGCACAUGCAAGAAAAAAGAAAAGCAAACAGAAAAAAAACAAGUGUGGACAGGCCCUUCUGUAGACCAAAUGCUCACAAAGUUAGUCCACAUACUUUGCAACUUAUGUAAUCUUAGUUGGAUAGUUCACCUGUGGGGACUUCUAUUCAAAGAGUGGUAUAAUAAGGUACUGUCACUUCUGUAAUGCAUCUUUUGAAAUGUGUUGUCAAAUGAAUAAUUGUUUGGCAAACCUCCUGAAAAGAUAAUAUGCUCAAAAAUGUCACUUUUUUUCCCCACAGAGUUUGAUAAAACCCUUGAUGUUUGCCUUUAUUGAUUCAAUUUAGUCAAACUUUGCACACACCCCUUUUCAUUGAUUAAGUUUUCAAUAGAGAAUGUUACAGCUGGUAAUCAAUGGUUGUAAUUUAGAAAUUAUUUAUACUUCAGGUGUUUAACUUGAAGCAUUGUUGCCAUCUGUACUGUCACUGGGUAUGGUAUGGUAAAGCAUAUACACUUUAUUGUGUAUAAUAUUGUCAGAAGAAAAUUCAAAGAAACUUUGGUUGUUUGGUAAGUGGGAGGAGGCUGUUGGGGCCCUGAGGGCACUAAUGGGCUUCAGCUGCUGUGAGCAGCCUCACCUGUGCAGCCCUGCCCAUGGCACAGGUGCAUCAAUUAAGCUCGGAGCUUUGCCAGGGCUCUGCUAUUCUAUACCUUUCUCCACCCAUCUCCCCAGCUGAUUGGUUGAAUGGCUUUGCAUUUCUUGGGUCAGUUAGAGGUCUGGAUCAUUCCUUUGAUGCAUCUGUUGAGCACUGGAUUGCUGGUGGUCCUGCUGUGUUACCUCCACUCAGAGGCAAGAGAUGCACACAGCUUCACUUCUGGUAUCCUUGCUUGCUCAUCUAGCCAUUGUCAAGGCAGCUGUCAUCCGGGAGCCCUGGAGCUGCAAUGCAGAAGUAAGUAUCACUACCUUCAAUUUUACAGAUCAGAAAACUGAAACAGAAAUGUAAAAUGAAUCACUUCAGAUCUACUUUUCUUGUGGUGCCAUCAUUUAUAAUGUUCAGCUCUGAUCCGCACAAGUUUAUCUAUUUGACCCUAGUGCUUUUCUGCCCUUUUGGGGGGCAUUUCUUUGAUCACUGUCAGCGUAUAUCCUCUGACAGAGCCCUGUUAGAUUUGCACAGUGGGGAGAUAAAACAAUGAGUGUGUAAGUACAGACAUGUAGCUCAUCACAAUGACAUGGCAGUAAUGCACUGAGUUCAGCUCACCCUGGAAGAUGGUCUGAUCCUUGAUAGAUUUAUCACAGCCAAAGACGUGAUUACCAAUCCCACUGCAGAUUUCUUCUAAGUUACUACUUUUCUUAAAGGCACAACGUGUCCCAAUACUUUCUGUUAGAAUUGUGAAUACUUUUGUUUCUUCUUGAAGACCCAAUGGAUUUUUUUCCAUAAACAUUUCUGAAGCCCUUUGAUUCUGGGAGGCCAUUCCAGCACAUAUAAUUUUCUCAAAAUCUUAAUCACUUUACAAAAGCAGUUUUUCUACAUCUCUGUGCCCAGAGACACUGCUGAUGCCCCAUCCCUGCAGGAGGGUUGGAACUAGGUGAUCUUCAAGCUCUCUUCCAACCCAAGCCAUUCUGUGUUUCUGCAAUAUUGUGCAGUUGCAAAUAUUCCUGUUGAAUGCUUAAUUCUCUGUAGUAUUCCAACUUAGAUUUCAUCAAAGCGAGUAGAAAAAUUGAAGUUAAGUUCCUGUUACACAUAAAAGUGAAGAACAUAAGGGUUUUUAAAAAGAACAUAUGGAUACAAAUGUACAUAUUUAAACAAACAUGUUCCAAUCAGCUCAGAUUUUUCUUUUCUUUCUCGUGUGAUCAAAAUGUGAUAAGACACGGUGGAUACUGAAGUCCCUACAGGGCCAGAUCUGAGUCUUGCAAAAGAUGUUAGGAAAAUUUCCAGUGAUUUCUCUGAGUCUCAGACCAGAUCUUUGUUGUUGCGAAAACAUCGGUGAACAACAAUUCAUCUAUGUGCAAAACUCCUGUAUAUAGUUCCAGAUGCCAAAAAUUCUCUAUGCAAUUUCAAUUCUAUUUUGAAUGUGUACUUCUUCCGCUAAAUGACUUAUUACCUAUGCAAAAUAACCUUAACAAAAUGCAAGAAAUGUACAACCAGGACAGUGAAUCUGUAGAGAUGAGAACAUGAACAGAAAAUUUGCCAUGGAAAUGAACAUUGAUUUUUAUGCUUUCUAUUUUUUUUCUGAUGCAGUUCUCAGAGAAUAAAUAGGAGACUCAGUUUUAAAGGGAACGGUGCUAGUCAGCUUAUACACCGCUUUCUGAGAUCCUUCUCUCAAUGUAUAGGGAAAUAAUUCAGUUACUAAGUACCUUAGUGUCUCCAGAGUUACAGCAGCUAUGUGAGAUGAGAAUCUGUUCCUGCAGUAUGUCUUUAAUAUCAAACAUUCAGACAAUUCAAGAUUUUAGCACUGGAAUAUCCAAAUCUCAUAAAGAUGAGUAAUGCUAUGAUUGCAGAUGUCUUCUGUGGUGUUCGUGUGCUGCUUGUUUGUGGAGAAGGAUCAUUUUUAUACCUUAAGAAAGAAUAGCCAUCUCCCUGAGGUACCUUCUAAUGAUGCCACAAGCGCAUUGCAAUACGUAGUUAAUGGCAGCUUUGUAUUGAUAAUGGACUUCUAUGAAUCAUGAGGAGCAUUAAAAAGAAAACACUUUCUUAUCUGUAUGUUCAGAUGCUUUCUAAUUGCUCAUGUGUAUUUCAAAUAACUUUGCAAUUCCUUGUAUUGCAUUAUUCAGAUUUCCUAGUGUCUCACAGAAAAAUAAUUGAAACGCAACCAAAAGAUUUGCACACCAUUAUGGGGAAUACUUUGUUCUUCACAUUCUUUAUCUUGUUAAUAAAGGAUAAGAACGUGCACAUGUACAUCGCCCUCAAUUUUAUUUUCUACUUUCAAAUGUAGCUAUUUUUCACCUGUAAUAGGUUGUAGAUGUACCAACUUCUCAAUAACAGUAGAACUGAGGGGAAAAACAUAGAGCGUUAAAACAACAAGAAAAAAUAUUGAGUAUUUUCUGGUGAAGCAGAUUGUGUUAGAAACUAUCAUUCAAAUUCCAGUGAGAGCUGAGGACUUCCCAGAUCUCACAUUCUCAACACAGACUGUAGGGCUCACUGUUUCCUGUACUGCACAGUCCUGGGGAUGUUCUACAGCUACUGACAGCUAUAUUUGAAGUGCUGGAAGAUUUAAAGGAAAAUAACUUUAUAAGAACACUUGUAUUGUUCAUCUUAAUAUUUAAGCUAAAAUGUCCCUUGUUUUCUUGUGGGGAAAAAGAACAUGAAUGGAAAGAAAAGAGCAUGUGAUAGGUGCCAUCUGUUCUCUCUUUCUCUCCCCCUUGCUCUCCCCUCUCCCAUAUUUUUCCUUUAAAAAAUAUAUAUAUAUAUAUAUAUUUAUAUAUUUAUAUAUAUAUAAAUUGAAAUUGGUAACUGUGGUUACCUGCCAGGCCUCUUUCAGGGAACAAAGUGAGACAGAAGGGUAGCAGGACUGUGGGUUGCCUGAGGGCCUAGGGAUGAAAUCUCACUUCUGUGCUAGAUGGUCACAACUCUUGGCUAUUCAGUCAUGAGACAGCAAAGGCUUUCAAGGAUCAACAACAAAUUUAUGGUAAAGCAAAAGCAAGAAAAGAUAUGAGGAGUUUCCUGCAAGAGGAUAUUUCCAACAUGAGCUUGUCCAUCCACUGCUGCUGGAAAAGACAAAUUUGCAAAAUUUCAGGCUCUCAAUAGGUCAUCCGGUCUUCCUCCUACAAACAGAAUAUCUGCUCUGGUCCUGACAGUUGUUUGUCUAGUCAGUACUCAAAGAUCACCAUUGAUGGAGAUCAUUCUGCCUCCAGGCAAUCUGUAUUCUAUAUCUCUUUUCCUGAGAGAUUUUUCUUUGUAUGUGUCUUGAAUAUUCUGUGUAGCUGCUACUUGACCUAUUCACUGAGGACAUGGAAAAGAUUUUUUCUUUUUUCAUAAGGAGUUUGCAAGUCAACACACCUGAUGGUUUUUUUUGUUGUUGUUUUUUUGUAUCUUGCAUUUUUCAAUGUGUGAUGUGUACCAAUAAGAGCAAUAAUGGGAGUUCAGAUCUGAAAACAGUGCCUGACUCUACUGUACCAUCAAUUGUCAGCUGUGGAUGCUAAAAGACCUAAAAGUUUGAAGUUCAGACUGGAGUUCAGAUGGUGUAUUUUGGCUGGGGUCCAGCAUUACUAGAAAUCCAUCUUGACGUAGAGAGAGCAGCCGUAACAAGCUGGGCUGAUGGGCUGCCAGCCAGGCUCUUCUAAAGUAGUGGAAGAAACCUGUUUCAUGAGUUGGGUAUAAACUAUGUAACAGAGCCAGAGACAAAAUGCAUCCCAACAUUAAUGUCCAGGAUUACCAGCUGCUCACACAGCUUGUCUGGGGGCAUCCAGAAUGCCAGGAAACGCCUGGUAGCUGUUGUAUAUAGACAUAUUCUGUGAGGCACAAAGAAAUUGCAUCAAGGACUUUCAAACUACAAAACAUCAGAAAAUGCUACGAAAUACUUUUGGAAGUCAAAAACACUUUGAGGAGUAAUCUCGGCCUCAUAGGACAGCAUCCAUGAUGCUGGACACUUGGUUCCCAUUCCAGUUUUUGCCACUCAAGUAUGGAUGCAAAAUACAGAGGCAUAUUGUCUGCUGUCAUAACUCAUCUGCGAAGCAGAUGUUUCUUUUGGGGGAAUUAUUCAUGCUAAAGAUCACACUUCAAAGUAAACAAUAAUUGUCAUUUGUUGCCUGUUAAAAAAAGAAAAAAAUGAAAGCUGGAAAUCAAACUAAUGAGUACAUUUCCUCAAGGGAACAGACAGAACUGGGAAUAUGAUCAUUUUGCAAAGCUUCUGAUAAAUACAUAGGUUGCUCUGAAAGAAAUGCUGCUUUAUUUCUGUGGCAACUACACUGGAUGCAAAGAACACGAUAACACUGAUAGAGCACAUUUUCAGCUACAAAACACUUUUUCAACAUAGUCACCACCAUUAGCUGUGUAUUUUUGCCAACUAUGAAGAGGACUCUGCGUGCUGUGCACAAAAAAUUCUGCACAAGCAGAUGUGACCCACUGUUUCACACCUGUUACGGUGGCAUCACUGCUAGGAAAAUGUUGCCUAUGCGGUCCGUCUGAAUAGAUGGAAGUUGGAAGGCACCAAUUCCAACUGUGUGGUGGGACAGUCCAGCCAAGAUUGUCAAUGUGUUCCAUGGUCUUCAAACAGGUACAGGGCCUGGCAUUACUGGAUUGUGAGAGAAAUGUUGUCGUCUUCUCUGGCCUGACUCUAUUAGUUUGAGCCCCCAGCUCAGUGAGCAUUGUGAUGUAGCAGUCAGGAUCUGCACUCUACCUUAGCUUUGUGAACCCAGUUCUGGAUAUAACAUGUCUCAAUUUACACAGGCCAGGAAGUCUGCAAAGAGAGUAAGCUACAGUAGAUUUUCUGAUGAGCCACUGCUUUACAGCCUCCUGGUUAAGACUUCAUUUCAGGAAGCUAAUAUGACUUUAUAAAAACCAAAAGUAGCUGCAUUCGAACUUACUAUAUGGUUUAUCCCACAGGACAGUUCUCAACUACCUUGAGUCAAGUACAGGAUGAAUGGUGUUCUCUAAGAGUUCAUGAAUAACAUGGGAAACCAGACUUGUCAUAUGGUUCUGGGACUCAGACACUGUGUCUCUACUAAUAAGUUAAAUGGUGCCAAGGAACGUUCCCAGGAGCUGGACCCAGUCUGUCUGUCUGUGUAGCUGCACUGCCAGAGCGAUCCUUUUGCCAUAGAGAUGCAGACCUCUAUUUUGAUAUUUGAUAUUUUGGAUUUGCUGAAUGACCACAGCCAACAAAAUUAUUUCAUCAGCUAGUUUCUGACCUUUAAUAUCUGACCAUAUAUUUUAAAGUGUGAGAGAUACCUAUUUUACAUUUACUCCAGCUCCAUAAGGAAUGCUGUACGGACAGGAAUUCAGCAGAAAAUUUCCACUUAUUUACCAUUUACUGUCACUGAAAUUCAAGAAGUUAUUUCAAAAAAUGAGGAAAAAAUACUGUGAUUUCUACUAUUUGUUUCUUCUUGGAAGUUCCAUGGAUCAUUUAUCAAUGAACAAAAGGCUAAUUAAAAGGCUAGACCUAGUGCAAUUACUUUGAUGAACUUUGAGAGUGGUUGUUUAAUGCCAUAGCCUUCAUUAUGUUAUGCUAAAUAUGUUCUCUGCAAGUUUGCAUCCCAAAGAUGAUGCUGUUUUUGUUGGACUAGCUUGAGGAAAAAUGCUGUAUGUUUGAGCUCUUGGGAUGAGUGUCUUACUUGGAAGGUAGGAAGAAAAUGUUGAUGUUCUCUGGAUUUGUGUGUGUUAAAGCUGACAAUUCAAGACGUGUCUGUGGUAGUUUUAUUCCUUAGCUCCUAACAGAAACCUGUCUCCCUGAGCUGAUUCCAGAUUUAUAAGCACAGUGUGUACAUUGUUACAGCACAGAGCGCAGGAUAAUUAAACAGCUGCUUAGCACUGAGCUCCUUCAUUCUUCAAUAAGCAGAUGUUUUGUCUUGUUGCUGAUUUCAAACAACCCACGAUAACAUACUAUAUGCAUAGCAUUACUCAUAUUUUUAAUAUUUUGGUGCUUUCCUAUCCAAAGAUCAAAGCUCCAUGCCCCAUUACAUGAGGUUCUGCACAGGCCGUUAGCACAGAAGAGAUCUUAAGUGAGUGCCAAUCAGUGCGUCUCCACUGAAUCCAGGGGAGCAACAGCAGUUCGCGCUGGCUGACAUUUCCCUUGCAGAUGUCAGACGAGAUGCCAUGAUUUACAUACCAAUGGCGGUGAGUGGGAGGAUGAAGUAACAAGAGGAGCAGAAAUGUGCAGGGAUGCAGAAGUCGGAGCUUGCCAUUUGCCUUUCUCCUGCAGCUGAACAAUGGCAAUCUGAGUUAUUCAUUCCCAUCCACCUCUUAACAACAGGAUUCGCUUCUGAUGAUAUCUUGUGGCCUUUUGAGUAUGUUAGCAGAGGAACUAGAUUCUUUUCUGUAUUUGCCUUCUGUGUUAUCAGACACAAUAAGCAAUUCCCAAAAGGCAGAUGAGGUGAAUAAAGCAAAGUAUCAGGUUAAAUGAUGUAUAUUCCUUAUCCAUUUAGGAAGGUGUUUAUGCAUCGUCGUUUUAUGCUUUGUAUUUGCUGGAUUUAUGAGUGGCAUUUGUGUGCAGAGCCAUGAAAGCAGAUGGAGCCCCGAAGGAGGAGCCCUUCUAUCCCACCCAGUUUGUGGUCUCCCUGUCUGCUGCUGAAGCUGCUUCCUGGGGCAGUGCGUUCAGCUGCUAAGAGCGUGUAAAUAGAAGGAGAAAUAUUAUAAAUGUCAGGAAGUGGCAGCCAGACUGUUCCAAGGUUGCGUACUGCGUGCUUGUGAAGCAAGAUGGCCUGACUCCAUUAUCAGUGUUGUCCAUCAAACGCUGAUUUCCAAAGGUCUGUAUCUUCCACUUACUGAUAUUUCCAUUUGUGUACUUCACUGGGAAGAGUUUCAGACAAUGUUGAUAAUUUUGGACUUCCUGAUCCUUAGGAGGAAUAAAUUUGCCCUGCUAGGGAACGCACUGUUCCUAUCCCUAACUGAGUUAUACGCAUUCGUACGUAAUCUCAGUAUAACUAUAAUGGGAAUACAAUUUAUACUUUAAUUUAUGCUUGUUCUCUGGUUGGGAAAAUGCCCAUGAACUGUGAGGAAGCAGAUCUGCUUGUUCUAUAGAUAAACUGUUGUUGUAUGUGGUUCACAUCCUGCAUUUUUAUGUAUCGUUCCAAUUCCUCAGCUGUUUCCAAUUCAUGUACCUUUCUGAAAGUGAAUGAAGCAGCUGUGCCAAAUUCAGAGCCUGGCUGAGUCCAGCUUCAUGUCUGGAGGAGCUGAAUUUCCCAAGGCUGGUGCUUCACCAUUAACUGAUGCAGAAGAAAUUAGAAUUCCUCUUUCCCUUUCACAUAAUGGCAGAAUUCUGAAAUUAUUGUGUAACAUGCCCUUCCUCCCAUUACACGGUCUUCAUUCUGUUCACCAUUAUUUUUAAUAGACCAAUUUUCUCUCUUGCUUUUCAUCCACCGAGUCUUUACUAUUAUUAUCAUCAAAGUGUCUGUGGGCUGCCAGCAUUUGAUAUUUCAUUUCACUGAUUUAAUUAUGUCUGCAGCCUGUUCUGGGGCUGUUUAUUUUUAUAGAUCUCCGAAUCCUCUUCUUUAUCAAAUUGUUUACAUCUGAAUCCAUUUGUUCACUGUUUAUAUGUCACUUUGCAAUUGUAUCCUUUUGUACUUUGCAUUUGUUCCUGAGGGGUGUUUUAGUUUGAUCAAAUUUUACAACUUUGCAGGCAGACAACUAAAAGGAGAUCUUCCUAUCUAGGGGUGAAAGGCAGCUCUGGACACAGCUAACACCAUCUGCUUUUUCACUUUAUGCUUCCUGUGGGCAUAUGUGAGCAUGGAGCCACGUCUGUUACCAGCUAUUGGGAACUGACAGCUCAUGGGAAGCUGGCAGAGUGUUAGAUUAAAGGAAGAGAUGUUUUACACACCUUGCUCUUCCAUGUGCAGUUUACAUAGGGUAUAAAUACAUAGGUAAUGUAGGGUAUAUGUAAACAGGGUGUUUACUGAGCUUAGUUUAGUUUCCAAAGAAUGGAGGUUCUUUGGCUCUGGGCAGCCUGGUCUAGAGGCUGGCAACCCUGCCUGUGGCAGGGGGGUUGAAUAUAGAUGAUCUUUGAGGUCUUUUUCAACUUUUCAACCCAGGCCAUUCUAUGAGUCUGUGACGCUUUACUGCAGAGGGUUGCAGAAGAGGAUGACAGCUUUGAAUUUUGCUGACUGACCUCCUGUCACUGCAACUACUUUAGUAGUGGUGAUGCACGUAUGCGUGCACGUGCUGUAGUUCUGUUGAGUUUCUUGCUUCUACUAUAAUUAAGAGUCCAUAAAUAAGUGCUUCUAAUGCACUUGACUAGAGAAAGUAAUUGCUAUUUAAAUGGAUAAUUUAUUGUGUGCUAAUUAAAAGCCCAAUAGGUGAGAACAUUUUAAUGAAAUGUAACUUAACUCAAUAAGGAGGUUUUUAAUAAUCAUUAGUUGCCUGAAAUAUACCUGAUGCAGCAGUUCUCUAAUGACAAGCUCUAAUUGAUGUUUUUAACAUGUAUUUAUUGUGGAUAAAUUGCUAUUUUGUUGUAUAUCUCUCUUUCCCUGUCUUUCAAAUGCACAGCUUCCCAGCUGGAGGCCCCAUUGUGCCUUAUUACAGUCUAUUCUUCCCUGCUUUGGCAACCCCUUUUGCUGGUCAACUCAUCUCAGUUACACUCGCAUGAAGCAGGAUGUGAGCAAACAGAUGUGGGGAGCUGCCAGUUUCUACCAAAGAAAAGGUGCUAGCUUUUAAUUUCAGUUGACUAUUAGAACGUACAGUAGAGAUCUGCCUUCUUUCCCUGUUUGACUUACAGUAUGAGGCAAAGAAACCCUCGAAGUGUCCAGGGUUCCAAGUGCUCAUCUUAGAGCAGAAUGAUUAUGCAAAAAUGGUAAACCUCAGUGUCUCUAGGUAAUAAAUUUCACUUUCAAAGAAGGAAGCUUAAGAACAGGCUGGAAAGUGAAUGUGCCUCACACAAUGGAGCAGCGUGCCAGCUUUGUUUGAAUUGAGCAACCUGGAAGAAUCUGAGCUGGGAACAAGUAGCAUCUGAUUUAAGGACUGAGAGAGUAGAUGGCUGAUUUUCUUCGCAAAAAUAGCAUGAGAAAGCUGUACUGACCUUUCCAGGAUGAGAGGUAAUGGCUUAAAUUGCCCCAAGGGAGGUUCAGGUCAGAUAUCAGGAAGAAUUUCUUCUCAGAGCAAUGAGGCAUUGGCACAGGCUGCCCAGGGAAGUGAUGGAGUCACUGUCCCUGGAGGUGUUCAGGAGAAGCAUAGAUGUGGCACUGAGGGACCUGGUUUAGUGGACACGGGGGGGAAUGGGUUCGUGGUUGGACUGGGUGAUCUUAGUAGUCUUCUCCAGCCUUUAUGAUUCCAUAAUUUCACUGUGCUUUUCUGGUGUCUUUUUCCAGCACUGGGCAAUGACUGUUCUUAUGUUUCUGAGAAUUUAAAGAAUGGUCUUCUGAGACUGAAAUGCACAGGACGUAGAGCGGAGGCUGUUAGUAGCUCUGGUGGGAUGGGGUAACCCUUAAAAAGUCACUGCACUUUCCUGGGCCUCCUUUUCCCCCACUGUUAAAUGGAGAUAACUACAUGUUUCCUUCAUGAAGCCAUUUGGUAUGUCUUGUUGAAAAAUCUAUAUAUAAGUGUUCAUCAUUUUUGUCACUCAGGCACUGAUAUAGGAAUUUCUGGAGCACUCCUACAUGUUGAGAAUCACACUGAUACUGUGGAUGAGAAUAUUAAAUUCUGGUGCUGAACCUGGCUAAUUUGAAAAUGACGUAUUUUUCUAGAGUGAUGCCUCAGAUGCAUCUUAUAUAAGAAAAUGAAUUACAUUUAUAGCUAGAAAGGACUGCAGGAUUUUAUGAUCAUCUCAGCACUCCUGUAUUUAGUAAAUUAUCUUGUGUUUGAUUAUGACAGGGUACCUCUUGGCUUAUGUCAAAGUUCUUGUUUCCUGGAGUUCUCCCUGUUUCCUGGAAACUAAACUCUGGUGGAAAGCAUUUGUUACUUUGGUUGUUUUUUUUUCUUUUUCUUUUUUUGGUCUGAUUUGUUUGUUUGGGUUUUUUUUUUUUUUUUUUUGUCUUUUAAGUCUAAACAACCCAUUGGUCCUACAGCUCUUUGGUUCCUGCCACUGAAAGGAGAUACCCAUAGAUUAAAUAGUUAAAUAUGAAACCCCCUUGGGGUUUGAUCUGAUGAAGAUGAUGCUUAUUUAGAGAAGGAGCAAAUACUUUAACAAGUACUAUCCUGAUGAACUAUCUAACUUGACUUCUGAGAAGUAACUAUUAAAUGGAGAGAAGAAACCAUGAAAUGUAAGAGCGAGUUUGAAUGCUGGUAUCAUAAUCUGAUCGUAGUCAUGCAUCAUAAUUAAAUGUUAAUUUAAUUGUGGGCUUCGGAUGUCAUGUUUGGAAUUCUCAGUUUCAAUCCAGUUUUUAUUAAACAAUGAAGAACCUUCUGAAGGAUUCAGAAUAACAGUUCAACAAAUCAAGUCAACAAACAGGGAUCCACUUUAAGGUAAGAAAGAGAAAAUAGUGGGCAAAAGCUGAUAGAGUGCACUGGAUGCAGGCAGAAUAGUCAGAGGAAAACCAAUAGGGCAUGAUUUGGAGAGACAGUAUCUUUCACACAACCAAUAGCAUUUGGAGAAAAUGAACAAGCUUUCAAGCACUUAAAUGCUUCCGCAGGUCUGGCAAAGAAAACAAAAAACUUGAAGCUUUGUCCGUCCUGUAAAGAAAUUAGCGUUUAACUUAAGAUAAUCACCUGGACAAUUAGGGAGACAAAAAGGUGAACUCCUUAGCCAUAACGGAGCAUCUGGGGAUACAAACAAAAAGUCAAGAGUUAAUGUGCCCCUGCAAGCCAGAGAGAGAGGGAGUGGGAGCUUAGAAAGAGCUCUUGGGAAAGGUGGGUACCACCAAACCGUUGCCUCUGCUGGCUCCACGGGUUUUAGUGCCUGGGAGAACUCUGAAUUUAAUGUCCCAAAUAUUUGAGUAGUGUCCUCUGGGGCAACUGGUACAUUAGGACUCAGAAAAUUAAUUGCCAGACUUGCACCUAAUUGUACAACAAAGCAGUAAACCAAUUCUGGAAAACCACAGUGAGGACUAAUUCAGAAGUGUCUUAACACAGAAUACGAAGAACGUUCUUUCCUCCUCUCAGCUCCAGAUUUCUACCCCAAAUGUUAAAGAAGAAACCUUAAACUUGUCUGAAUUACAAGCAAAACUGUCAGCCUCCCUCAAAAUGGGGAAAGAAAGUACUUCUGAAAUGCUUAUGCAUUAUAUAACAUGUACCCAUAUAUCAUUUAUACGGACAUUAGCAACUUGUGUUAUUUCCUCAUUUUGGAGGUGAUGCAUUAAAAGUGAAAAUGCCACUACUGCCAUUUUCUUCUUACAUAAAGCAGCUUUGUGUCUACAGUGCCUGUGUGCAGAUCUUCUCCAUGAUUUUCAAAAAGCUGAUUGAAGGCCAUUGCAGUAGCUUGGGUAGGGUGGCCAAACAGAUGAAGAUGGCAUAUAAAGAGCCUGGUUGGCAGCAAUGCCAAUUUCAUGCACAUGCCCUGCCUUGAUUAAAGUAGAGAUGUUUGCAUAUGUCUUGUGUCCAAAGGCAUUUUUGAUGCACAUCUCCUGCUGAGCCAGCAAAGCUCCUCUCACGCCUAUUGCUUUUGCAUAGCAGAUACACAUUAAUGGAAGCAGUCAGAGCAUGCAUCUACCUGGUUCAUAAUUUGCACAUCUCUGGAAAUAUCCUUAAAAUGCAGACGAAGUUUAAAAAGAAAUAGUAGAGAGUUGCAAAAAAUCCAGAUUAACAGUUGAAAGUUGAAAUAGUUUAUCCUCUUACACAGGGGUAUUAAUUACAAAGCGUAUCUUCAGUCUCAUUUGCAGAGUUUCCCUUUCGCUAUCUGGAACCUGAAGCAGUAGAUUAAUGAGAGAGGCUGGGAAGGUGCCACCUUGUAAGGAGCUGCAUGGAAACGAACCACUUAAAAGGCACAAACAAGUUUUAUUGCAACUGUCAAACCUAGGAACCAUGUAAUGUCCUACUAUAGAAUAUACUGUAACUAAUGAACUAUUUACACACAUUUAUUGUGCUGUUGUGUUUUGUUUUCAGAUGUCCAUAUGUAAGAAAACAUUUUGAAUUUUCUGCUAAAGAUAUCCAAAUUAACAUCUAAAGGAGUUUUUCCCCCCUUUUUAUAUUGUCUCUGGGUUAUAUGGGUGCUGCGAGGCUGCUCAGCCCAUUCUGUAGAGAUUCCUGCAUAAAUGUUAUUAAUAGAGUGCAGGAGAGGAUGAUAGAUAUGAGUCUUACAGAAAUGAAGCUAAUACUGAGACUCACUGUUUUCAUUUCCUUGUGCUUUUGCAUUUCAAUUUCAUAGCACUGAAACUCUUGGUGGGCAUAGUGUAGAUGGAUGGGUUGAUGGUGGAACUGGAAGAUCUUGGUGGUCUUUUCCAACCUUUAUGAUUAUUUGACUCUGUGACUUCAGAGAGGACAAAACACCACUCCUAUUCACAAUGAAGGAGCCACCUCCGAUAGCAAGGCUUUGCCACCACCGCGGGACACCGAGUGCCGUGAGCGGUGCUGAACUGAGCAAUGAGGAGGAGAUGGCUGCACACAUAGCAUGGAAGCUUUGACUUUAUGGUGUCUCCAACUCAGAAAAGCCUGCUUGUGGACCCAAAGCCCAGAGGAGAUACUUGCUAUAACUGCCUAUAAAAGGAGAACGUGAGGGCAUGCUGUCAUCCAGCACAAGUCUCACCUAUCAAAAAGGAAAAACGUACUGAACUGAGGGAUCCAGCAUGGAACGAGAUGACAGGUGAGGCACAGCAACACAAAUAGGCAGCAGUGAAUUGGACAAAUCUGCCACCUGCAAGCAGAGAGCAUGAGCUCAGCUAGUGCAAGAAUCUGGUGGCUCUGUGCUGCCCUGCUGGAAGGUCUCCUGACGCCUCCGGACUCCUGCUUCCCUGUAACCACUCCAGUCUCUUCCUGUCACAAUGAAAUCAUUCCUGCUGCAGUGAAGGGAUUAAUUAGGUCUACCAGUACUUCACUACCCUCAAUCCUAACUGAAAAUCAGACAGCUUUUCCUGUUUCGCACGUCUGUGCUCAGAGAUGUGACUGACCUAACGCUUGGCACCUUAGAAAAAUCAUGCCCCAGUGUGGAUCAAGACUCAGGAAACAAAUCCUCUCCAUAACUGCGCAGAGCAGGGCAUAAGCUAAUGCCAGAAUGAUGUGAUGCUUGACGCUUUGACCUUGCUUUCUGUGCAAGACUCUCCAAGCUUCAUACCACUGGGAGCGCAUCAUUUGUGACGAGCAAAAAAGUCAGAGCAACUGGUUCUUAAAAGAUUUGUCAUAGUUUUGCUUUAAAAAUAAUUCAUCUCAUAGCUGAAUUCAGUAUUUUGGGUCAGUUAUAAUUGAAUCUGCUCAGACAGAGAAGUUAUAUGAGACUAAUUACCUACUGUCUCUACUCGAAGUAAAUAUUAAAGGCAAGAAAAAUAAACAUGGGCUGAAGUGUGAUAUGCAAAUCACAUUGAUAACUAUCAGGUUAAGACCAUGAAUUUAUAUUCUUUUAAUCAUUAUGAGGUUUAGAUGGUAUCUCCAGCAAAGAAAAGUCAGUAUGAUGGUAUAUGACUGUCUAUGAUUUGGUCCCUAAUUGCAAACAACAAAAAUACAUUAACCUGCUUGUAUCCUGUGUCUCAUUAUUGUCAUAAAAAUGAUAAGAAAAUUCCUUCUUUGUGAAAUCCAAGCUGCUUUACUCUUUUCAAGGACUGCUUUUGUAAGAAAGGAGAGUAAGGCUUAGGUCACUUAUACUGAAUAUAAGGUAGAGGGAGAUGUUUCAGAAGCAGAGCACUUUAAACAUCUUUAUUCCUACCAAAGUUAAUAAAGUGAAGCCAAUUCUGAGCACUUCUUCAAGCUGCAAUGGAUUUGCUAUUAGUUUUCCUGCAUGAAAAUAUGAUGAAGAACAUAAUUGGAGAAAAGAUAGUUCGAGAAAUAACUUCACAAUGGCAUUACUCUCAAAGAAAAGACAAAAUCAAAAUAUCCUGGGUCUGGUUAAGGCAGGCAAGGACUUAAAAUGAGACUGGGCAUGAAAGGGAUGGAGAAAAGAAUGGGGUGUAAGUUAUGACAUUUUCACCUUUUCAUAUGCAAAUUCUUGAUGAAAAAUCCUUAGAAAAAGAAGCUAGAGUAACUUUCAAAGAUCAGAACUACCUUCUUUUCCUUUUCUCCUUUUUCCUUUUCCUUCCUUUUUUUAACUUUUUUUUUUUUUUUUAAACUUUUCUUCUCUGUUCCUGCAGGGAAGUGUUUAUAGGGACACAUGAGAUCCUGACAGACAUUUCCACUGACCCUCUUACAUGAGAUUUGGCUCAACCGCUCUCCUCUAAGACGGUCUGUGAUUUUGGCAGCCCGAGGCCCAGGGUCCCUUCCAGGGCUGCUGGGCCUGCAGCCACCAUACUGACAUUGGCCCCUUGUAACUGGGAACAGUUAGUGGGAGCUCCUAAAAAUACACAGAAGCAAACAAGGAGCUAAUGCUGCUGCUUUGUGCUCAGAGAAGAUGCAUUAUUCAUACAGUACAUAGACAAAAUAGAGAGAAGAUGCCUGGCAAAGCCCCCAGAAUGGCUUAGUUACCCUCGAGUAAAAACUUCUAUUUGUUGAGUAGACUCCAUAAAUAUAGCAGGACUCCUGAAAUGUCCAGAUGUUUCUGAGCAGAUGAAGAAUGUUCUCUUUCUGAAAGCUUACUGAAUUUUUUAUUAUCUCAUGCACUGUUUGCGUGGGCAGGUCUUCUGAGUGAGUCAGAGCAAACAGCAAUCACUGCUGCAGGUAUCCAGCGAGAGAGGACAAUUCCUUAACCUGGGAGCUCCUAAAGAGGUCCUAACGUGCAGAGUGCUGAUACAUACACAGAAAAUAAUCACUGAAUCAAUGAGCUAAACUUCUCUGAGGGACCUUAACGUAGCCGUGCUGUAAAGAAAGGAUUACUUAGCAUUGAUAGCCAUGCCCUCAGAUAUAGCCGUGGUGGUGUGCUCUCAGGCACACAGACCUCGCUCUUCCAUGGGAGACACAAUGCCAUAGGAAGAUUCUGGAGUUAAGGCAGAUAUUGAGUUAGCCCUCUCUAUUGAAUUGGAGUUUUUGCAGAUGGGAAAUAGUUUCUUCUCCAUGGUAAUUCUUUAGUAAUGCCGCUCCACUUGGACCAAUUUAAACUGGAAGAAAAAGGUCUGCCUGUGAUAUCUCUGCCUCAGUAGGACAGCAUGACCAGAUUUAUAUCUUUACCUUGCAUUUUUGUCCGGAGGGCUUACGCUUUCAUCUGAUUAUGCUCUCUCUUGUGAGAUUCUCUCUAUGCUUAAAAUAGAAAAUACCACUAACCCCAGGACUGCUGAUAGGGCCGGAGUGCCUCCAAACAGCAGUCUUCUGCGUUCACUCUCCCUUACACCAACCCUGCAUCUUCUCUAUUUCUGCUACUACCACCAACUUAGUGCCAGCCAUAUGUAUUUAAGGGGUUGAGCUGGCUUCCUUGACUUGAUAAUCAAUGUGUGAUUAUUUUGUGGUUUUCCAUGUGGAUUUUAGUUUCUCCAGUUCCUGCUUCUAUUGCACACUAAAGAUUUCAUUUACUCGAAUGCUGCUUUUGUAUGCUUUCUUUAUGGAGCAUAAAAGAACCUAGAAUGAUUUUUGAGUGUGUCUAUACGCUUGUUAUAUGUAUUUGUUCAUGCUUUUCUGAAGCUACACACACCUGCACGUAUAUAUGUAUUUACAUUCCUGUAACUGUGUGUAACCAAAAUGAGAUGAUGAGCUGAUGAAGACCACCAGCAAAUAAUAUAAAAUAAUAUAGUAGUGCAACCUUAAUGCAGUGUUCAGAGUUGCACCUUGACUCCAGCCAGGACUGAUCAGACUCUGCUUAGUUCUGAAACAUCAGUCACUGUGUAUGACAGCCUCCCUCACCCCUUCUCUCCCUUUGCUCUUGUAAUGCAUCCUUGCAUGUAAGCCAGCUUGAGCAGCUGGAAGCUUGACUGCAACCUAACCCCAUUUUGAAUCAUGCCCAAGAUGCAACAGCCAGAUUUCUUACUGCACUAUUUUAAAGCAUAGAUGCAAGAGGCAUCGGCAUCUAUGUUUUGUGGCCCAGCAAAUGUCAUGGCAAGGCAAGUGGGAUGGAUGGCUCCUCCCCAGGUGCAGGGUUGCAAAUCCAGUUCACCCCUUCCCUACCCCUCAAGCCAUGUGGCAGGCUGUCUGGAAGCAUAGCAUUGUUCAUCACAUUAAUGUUCAGCUGUCGUGGAUGUGAAGAGGAAGUCAAGGGCUCACAGAACAGAAGAGAUGGACAGAGCAGACCUUUGAGGAGGAACAGCUUUGCAGCUUAGCAGUCAGCACACGACCUGGGGAAAGCCAACAAGGAGCUGGGAGCACUUCUUAGACACACAACAUUAAAAAGCUGUUACGUAAAACCCAGAAACCAUGCAGGGUCAAGAGGCAGGACCUGAAGUUUCUCUUGCCAGCCCUGUGCUCACCUUCAUCUUCCCUGCAUCAUCACUGAUAGCUCUCCUGUCUCUGUGCAGUAAGGUGCCCUUGCCAGGAUAUCUGUCAUUUUCAUCAGUUCCCAUCGCUCAGCUCUUCAAAACUUCCUACUAGUGUCAUUUAGGCUCUCUCCUUCUCAUUGGCUCCUUCUAGCUGCUAACAUAUACCAGCAAUUUUCACAGUCGCCUGCUUUCCAUCUGUUACAGUUUCACUGAUGUUUUUUUGUCUGACUUCCUCUAUGAUCUCAGCUUGCUUUUGUUGAAGUUAUACACUUUUCCAUCCUUGCUGUGAGUUUUUGGAUUUUUAGGCAUCAAAUAAAAAAUCUCUAAACAGUUCUUAACCACAUUUCACCCUAUUUCAGUUACAUCUCACAGAUGAUUCAAUUCAUAACAGCUUUCGGUUUGGUGACUUCAGAGGUACACAGAUAAUUGAUUGGGAUUUUUUCCUCAUGGUAUAUAAUGAAUGUAAUCCAGUCACGCUCUCUUGCACCUUAAGUAUUUCCUAACUUCCAGGCACGUGGUCAGUCCUUAAGCAGUAGUGCUCCCAGCUCUGCCAGCAACACUUUAAAAUGCCCUUUAUAAUUUCAAACAGUUCUGAUGCUGGAGUAUCCCAGCACAAGCCCUCCUGCACCUGCCAGACCCUUGCCAGCCCACCUGAAAGCUCCCCUCCCAGAGCAACAGGAAAGGAGCUCCAUUUCCACUUGGUUGUGCAGUUUCCCUGUCCUCAGCCAAGGGGAUCCUUCACCAUGUGUGCUGACCCUCUGGGCUGUGAACCUGCUUCAGUGUUGUCUCCCUCUAAGUGGGCCACGGAACUUUGAUUCUAGCAUUUGCUGCCCUCUUGUUUUUACGCUUUCCAAAUCAUCGUUACUGCUUUGCACAUACAAGUUAUAUGAAGCUUUUGGGUUUCAGUGGCAGAAAGGCCAAGUAUAUGUUCAUAACCGAACAGUUCCAGUUCUUUGGCAAUUUAGAACACCUCUUUCAGUCCCUUGGUGUCCUGACCUCACAUGGAGCUGAUUCAAAUUUUUAAUUCAUCCCGUGGCUAAAAGCUUCUUGUCCUCAGUGGCAGAAUGGUUAGAAGGCAUUUCAAGAUUGCCUGAAGACAACCGCAUUCAGGACUACUCUUUGGCAGGGAACAUCUCAAGUCAUGCAUCCCUCACGGCCCUGUCUCCAGAGUUCACGCUUGGUAUGCCUACACUUGAGAGAGGAGCUGCAGGCCCUCAGGGUUUUCUUUCAUCACUAAGGACAAAGGCAAGAGAUGCCAAGCAGCAUCAGAAGAGCCAAUCACAGUGCUAUGAACAAAAGGUCCCCUAAUGCCUUGGAUAAGACCAGCAAUUUCACAGUCUGCAGAAGGGAACGACUGAGGAAAUUCUGUGGAAUUCAGUAGAAAUCCUGAACAUUUUUCAUUACGAUAAUAAAAGAAACGAAGCGUUAAGUGGGAAGGAAAGGUGCUGAAGGCUACAAGAAAAGCAUUGCCUGCUUUACCAGUAACAGUGGUUCUGAGCAGUAGGCCUAGGUGCCUAGAGAAAAAGGAGCGUGGGCUUCGCUGAGAGGCCUACAAUGGCACCGAGGAGCCUUCAGAGAUGAAUGGCAGCUGAUUUCCCACAGAUCGAUGAUUUCCUGAGACAGAUUUCAUUCUGAAGCAGCGAACACAAAAUUUACAUAGCCAGAGUAUUUUUUACUGAAGUGAAAAUUGAAACAGCUAAACUGUGUUUAUGCAUGUGUAUGCAUAUGUAUCAACUUUCCUUCCUCACUUGACAUGAUUGCAAAAGAAAUUUCCAUCCUGACUUUUCACACCCACAUGGGUACAGGAAGAAGAAAUUUAAAGGUUGCUUGAAUUUAUGUAUCCACUGUGAAAUUCCUGAGUACUGAAAAGUACAUGUUGGUGAGGAGAUAUGAGUGCUGUGUAAUUUACUGUGUGAGUGCUUCCAAGUGAAAUGUUACUGUACAUCACAUCGCACUUCUUACUGAGUGGGAGUUCACCUUGCUUAUCUUUGGCCAAAGUUUUGCAGUGACAUUCGCUGUGCAAAACCUACCCUUUACCUUAGCUAAGUGGUGCUAUAGAAGCAAUAGUUAGCAGCUGGAAACACCUAAACAGCAUGGAGCAAUUUCCUGUGUUUAACAGACAAGAAUGUAAUUUUACCUAUAUAGUUAUUUGUUUCAAUUUUAAGUUAUUCAUUGGAAUCAAAUCAUGAGAAUAGAGUACUUCCAGUAAUUUCCUCAAUUAGGAAAUGAAACGUGAAAUUCUUAAAACCAGUUUUACAAUAAGUAGUGGAGGAGAUGCUCAAAAAACCUCUGACUGAGACUUAUUCAAUGCCAGAGAUACUCAGAAUGGGCUUUAAACCAUAAAAUUCACACGUUAACUUGAAUUUCAUUUCUGACUGGUUGGCAUGACUGGCUUAUCACCAUGUCUGUGUGUUUGCAUGUCUAAGUGUAAAUAAGUGCAUUUUCCUUGCCUUAUAAAGACAAUGUCAUAGAUUUGACUUUUCUGCCUUGGGCAGCAAGCCCCACAGAUGAUUAUAUGGGGAUAAAACAUAUGUCAAAGAAAAUGUUUCUUAGCUCUCUUGAAUGCAGUGCCAAUUAUGUCAGGCUAGCUCUUACUGCUUUAAAUUAAAACCAUACUUCAUCUCAGAAUUAAUUUAAUUUUCUGGAAUAAAUGCGCUUAAAAAAUCCAACUUGGAUUCUCCAAAGGAUAAGGGUCAGCUAUUCAGGGCAUCUGAAGAAUAGCAUAAGAGUCAUAUUCAGGCAGCCUAAAUUCAACCCGAAUCACUGUGCUCAGGAUUUCUUAUCAACCUGCUGUAAGUCUGUAGAGCACAGGGACUAUUCGACUCCUGGACCGAGAUGGAAUUUAAAUCCUGGAUAUUCAGCAAACCAUUUCCUAAUUCUUUAUGUUACUGAAGGAAGUGACCCUAGCAAGACUUGAUAGGCAUUAAAGGGUGGCCUAUUUAAACAAAGGGCAGCCCUCAGUUGUCAGUGAUUUUCACUAGUCUUAAAAGAGGAAAACAAUCCUUAUAUCUAUUGAAAAUCUACUUCUGGAUCUGCCCCCUAAAACAGUAUUAUCAGAAAGAUGUAUUUCCCUUGCUUUUGUAAUGCAAAGGAAUCAUAGACAUCUUUGCUUUAAGAGGCAAGAAAGGUAACUAAUUCUAUACUGUCAAAAAUUUUAUCUUUUGAAAAGUAGGGUGAUGAAUCAUAGCCAAAAAAAAGCCCCGUGGCCCCGGCUCCAAAAACCAAACAAUCCAGCAAAAAUAAAGAACAAACCAAAUCCUAUUGGUUUGUCAUCCAUCUGUGUUUCAAACAAUCAGAAACAACAGCAUCACGUAUCUUCUGGUCUAUACCUCCCUGGCCAUUCUAAUUAAUACUGGCUCAAGGCAGUAUUUAUUUCUUAGCUCGUGAGAUAAUAGGUUAUUGACUGACCUGUGAGGUAAUAGCCAAUUCUGUGUCUCACGUAGGAAGUGAUUGUGUGGAUUGAAGUUUGCCAUUGAUUUUGCUUCCAUACACUCAGGGGGACCAUCUAUAUAACUGUCACAUAAAUAAGAAGAAAAGGCCCUUAGUGACAUUUACUGACUUCUGAAGAUUCCUCACCUGCAUCCACUUGACAUUACUGUGGCCAGACCAAAAACCCACUGAACUCACCACUAACUUCAGUGCAGUUCACCAGACCUUCCUUAUAUGAAGCAGGGAAAUAGGAAGAGCUGACAACCUGAAGUCAUGGACUGGUGCAACAAUAAUGUAGAUUCUACAUCUUCUUCAUCCUGUGCUAUUUGCCAUCUCCUAACUGCACGGAUUCUGAGGACCCAUGAGAAGCAUGAAAUAUCUGUAGUGGUAUCUUAAAGGACUGAAAAAAAGCAGAGAGAGAUUAAAAUCAGAUACCAGUGGAGCUUUAAGUGCAAUGAAUUGAAAGGAAAUAAGGAAAGGUGAGCAUACGAUCACAAACACAGAACUUGGUACAAUUUAGGAGCUCCAUUCUACUGAAAGCUUCAGGAGUAGACAAACUGGUGUCACUGCAGAAUAUUUGGUAAAAAAGUACUUGUUUCAUCUGUAUCGUUUUGGUUAUUCAAAAUCAUAAACAGUGCCUUGGAGAGCAGAACGAGGAUAAAUAGAAAAGUUUCAGCUUUUCUGAAACACGUAUUUCUGUAAUGUGCUUCAGAAAGAAGGAGGUUUCAGUGAGUCAGUGUGCUGCUGCAAGAGUUGGAGUUCCUCUGGUAAAUUUUUGUCACGGUGGUAAUUGCAGAAAUAAGCAGUUCCUCCACCACUCACCCAUUUAUACCUCUCUCAAUAUUAAAUUAACUAACUCCCUUUUGGGAGCCAUUUGGAGAAUGAUCAGCAAAAACCAAACGCAGAAAAUUACUGAAAUCUCUGUUGCAUUCUUCUGUUGGUAUUACUGGGAAAUAUCAUCCGUUUCUUCUGGCCAGUGAUUUUCCCAGAUGCACAGAUCAUUUGCUGGCUGCCCUGCUUAGACCCAUGUCCUGUCUAAAGCCAAAGCUUACAAAGGCUCUUUGAAAAGUCUUUUUGAGACGGUGUGCUGGCUAAUUAAACAUUUAUUAAACAUCAUAGUAGCUUGAGAAUUAAUUUCACCUUCCUGUUUCUCAAGCCUCAGCUCUUUUCUAAGCUUUGACUGUACCCCUGACUUCAGCUGCUUGCCUGGCUUGGUUAGGAUUUCCCAGUUUGCUUGUACACCUGUGUGUCAUUUGCAGGGAAGAUGCUGCUCAUUAAGAUACACGAUGGGGAUCUUAAAAGGCAUUCAUUUAUUUGACAAAAAGGCAUAUUGGAACAGUACUACUAGGUGGCACGUGCACCUUGUUUUUAUUAAGUCACGUAGUAGGGAAAAAAUUAAUAUAAAAUCCAAGGAGAACAUUGAAAGCUAAUUUGCCUUAAGGUACAGAAGCUUCUGAAAAACUGCUAUUUUUUAUUCAAAUAUUACAGGGACAUAGCAUUUUUAUUCUCUCAUUUAUGUCAUUUAGGAUAGCUAAUGAUAUAUUAUUACACGACCCAAAGCCAGCGUUGCGUUCUCUUCCUUGUAUCUGGUACUGCUUUUCCAACUACUUUGUUCCACCCAAACCAUUUCAGAUACAGUCUCAAUUACAGAAAAUAAUAGGAUUCCUGAGGAGGUGUAAAUGCAUACCGUGGCAUGGCUGUCCUGCACUGAAAUAGCUGAAGAGCCUUUCUGCAUUUCCACAACAUGGGCUGAGGGUGCUCACGUGCCUUCCAUAGAACAAUCUUCAAGGAUUUUGUGCGACAUCAACGUGCUAAAUACUAUCUGCCUGAACUGGGGAGGAUGUCUCACAGUUUAAUUGAGCACAUUCAUUACAAUUGCCAAGGAAGGACCAAUAUCUGCUUUCUUUUCCUGUGAAUUCAAUACAGACCCAACAGCAACUGUAAGAUCAAAUCCCAAGGCCAGGUAUGGGGCAUUUGUUAUAUGAUAUUGAAUUUUUCAGCCAAGGCUUGAGCAGGUCAUGCUAAUUAAUGAAGAAUUUUCAGAUGGAUGCCCAUGAUUUCAAUGAAGCCAAUGCUUUUGGGAAAAAAUAGUCUGCAACGUCAAAAGAAAUUGGUUCUAUUUUGUCAGAAUAAAUAAUUUAAAUGAAGUACACAGUAUUUGUAACUUGACUGGUAUCCUGUCUAUU
Molecule: long non-coding RNA, 22724 nt
Filed under: Gallus gallus (chicken)
Lineage: Eukaryota; Metazoa; Chordata; Aves; Galliformes; Phasianidae
Description: lncRNA (ENSGALG00010022982.1)
Source: RNAcentral